GAAAGCUCAUAGGUCAUAUCUUGAUGUGUCAAUGUGCAGAGCCUUGCCCACAAAAAAACAACUCCACCACACUACUGAAAAGCAGAAAGGAAUGCACGAUUACAAAUUGCGUGUGAACAAUUUCUCCAUGGCAUGGGGGCCAAGCAGCCACUUACCCCUGAACUUUCAUUUUCAUCCACCAAAUCACCACCUCAAAUCAAUCGGUUCACACAAGACCGAAAUCCAAAUCCCCCCCACAUGCCAUCCACACACACACAAAAGGGAACACAUGUGAGCCCAAGACAAAGCGGAAUAUGCUGCCGACCUAUCCAUCAACCCAUGCAUGUCCAUCAUCGAACGGAGACAGAUAGAGCAAGAUGCCAUGCCGAGUACCAGUGUAUCACCAUAUGGCUCAUCCCCAGCCGUCCCUUCCACUAGUGCUGAGCGAGCUGCCGGGCGGGGCGAUCAAUCUCUCCGGCCAUAACGCAUCGUGAGAUUCGCCGUGGUCGCCGUCAGAUUCCUGCGCUGCAGGGUCAUUGUUUCAGGGAAAGAAACGAUGGGAUGGGAUGGCAACGGCCAUGAACGACUUAUCUAGGUAUUCUUUGGAAUAAUCAACAGUGCUUCUGAUCACCUCGUUUUGAUUCUAGUGCGUGAGUGUACGGGUGGAUGGCUGGUGGUGCGUCGGCAAG
Molecule: long non-coding RNA, 668 nt
Filed under: Hordeum vulgare
Lineage: Eukaryota; Viridiplantae; Streptophyta; Magnoliopsida; Poales; Poaceae
Description: long non-coding RNA (HVUL_LNC018073)
Source: RNAcentral